RNAcentral lists this ribosomal RNA (465 nucleotides) under uncultured Acidaminococcus sp. RNAcentral describes it as "bacterial SSU rRNA". It matches the Rfam family "Bacterial small subunit ribosomal RNA", at positions 338 to 795 of the family's 1533-position model. Lineage: Bacteria; Bacillati; Bacillota; Negativicutes; Acidaminococcales; Acidaminococcaceae. The record is from RNAcentral.
CCUACGGGAGGCAGCAGUGGGGAAUCUUCCGCAAUGGACGAAAGUCUGACGGAGCAACGCCGCGUGAGUGAUGAAGGUCUUCGGAUUGUAAAACUCUGUUGUCAGGGACGAAUGUACUGAUCUAUAAUACACUUCGGUAUUGACGGUACCUGACGAGGAAGCCACGGCUAACUACGUGCCAGCAGCCGCGGUAAUACGUAGGUGGCAAGCGUUGUCCGGAAUUAUUGGGCGUAAAGAGCAUGUAGGCGGGCUUUUAAGUCCGACGUGAAAAUGCGGGGCUUAACCCCGUAUGGCGUUGGAUACUGGGAGUCUUGAGUGCAGGAGAGGAAAGGGGAAUUCCCAGUGUAGCGGUGAAAUGCGUAGAUAUUGGGAGGAACACCAGUGGCGAAGGCGCCUUUCUGGACUGUGUCUGACGCUGAGAUGCGAAAGCCAGGGUAGCAAACGGGAUUAGAUACCCUGGUAGUC